This 253-nucleotide ribosomal RNA is filed under the name uncultured bacterium. RNAcentral describes it as "partial 16S ribosomal RNA". It matches the Rfam family "Bacterial small subunit ribosomal RNA", at positions 524 to 776 of the family's 1533-position model. The record is from RNAcentral.
UACGUAGGGUGCAAGCGUUGUCCGGAAUUAUUGGGCGUAAAGAGCUCGUAGGCGGUUUGUCGCGUCUGCUGUGAAAACUCGGGGCUUAACCCCGGGCCUGCAGUGGGUACGGGCAGACUAGAGUGCGGUAGGGGAGACUGGAAUUCCUGGUGUAGCGGUGAAAUGCGCAGAUAUCAGGAGGAACACCGGUGGCGAAGGCGGAUCUCUGGGCCGUAACUGACGCUGAGGAGCGAAAGCGUGGGGAGCGAACAGG